AGCAAAAACCUAUAAAAAAAUGGAUCAAAGUGAGCUAAAUCAACACCAGUUGCCGUCUUGCGUCAAUACAUUCACUUUCCGUAUUUCCUGCUCUGUUCUUCAUCUCCUUAUUGGAAGCCCAUGUCCCGCGUUUUUCCAUUCUCUCUCCUCAUUUUCUCCCUCCCCAUUAUCCAUAUCCCAUCAUUAUAAAUAAAAAACCCACAUUCACAUUUCACCUAUCCGUUUUAUUCCCUCGAAACCCUAAUUUUCGAAUUCAAUAAUACACAUGUUCAAGAACCCUAAAAACUUCGAAGAUCUGGAUUCUCUCGCCUUUUUCCGCACCUUCAUGGCCCAUCCUCCUACGAUUCUUGUUCGUAAUGUAUGGUCCACUAAUCUCGAAUCCGAGUUCUCUAUAAUCCGUUCAUUAAUCGACCAAUUUUCCUUCGUUUCUAUGGAUACUGAGUUUCCCGGCGUACUUUUCCGGCAAGUUGGCGGUGAUCCAUACACCAAACGAAUUUCUCCGGCGACUCAUUACUCUCUGUUGAAGCAAAAUGUUGAUGCUUUGAAGAUUAUUCAGUUAGGGUUAACGUUGGCGGAUUCGAAAGGAAAUCUUCCGGAUCUUGGAAACCCUAAGUGUAGGUUUAUUUGGCAGUUUAAUUUUAGAGAUUUUGAUGUUGGACAUGAUAAUCAUGCGCCUGAUUCUGUUGAGUUGUUGAAGAAUAAUGGUAUUGAUUUUGAAUUGAAUAGGAAAUCUGGAGUUGAGUCUGUGAGAUUUGCGGAGUUGAUGAUGUCUUCUGGAUUGGUGUGUAAUGAUAACUCUGUAACUUGGGUGACAUUUCAUUGUGCGUAUGAUUUUGGAUAUUUGGUGAAAGUGUUGACUCAGGCACCAUUGCCGAGUGAGCUUAGUGUGUUUAAUUAUUUGAUAAGGAUUUUCUUUGGAGACAGAGUGUUUGAUGUCAAGUACAUGAUUAAGUUCUGUGAUGGAUUGUAUGGAGGGUUAAAUAGAGUGGCGAAGGCUUUAGAGGUGGAUCGGACGGUCGGAAGGUCGCAUCAAGCUGGUUCCGAUAGCUUGCUAACGUGGCUCGUCUUCCAGAAGAUUCACCAUCUUCACUUCAACAAGGUGGGAGAACUUGACAUGUGCGCUGGAUUGUUGUAUGGGGUGGAGAAAUUGAAGGGAUGAAUUAGGCGCGAUUUUGAGCUUAGUUUCUGCGACUCAUUCAUAUUAGGGUAAGGGGAGCCAAAAUCACGGAGUUGUCUACAUCAUCAAAUAUAACUGCUCUUAUUAGCGAAAGGAGACUCUUGUCCUUAACAAAUUGCAUAUCCUUUUUUUGGUUUAGUAUAAUUUUUUGAAGAGUAUGAGAUAACAAAGGUAUUGGAGUCUAUGCAUAAGACAAGAGGUGGAGCCGAGUAAUUAACUUAACUCAUUGGUACAUUCUUUCCUUGAACAUAUUUUUUUGUCGUGUAAAAAAAAGUAUUGAAUGGAAGCGCAUGCAAAAACUAAAAAGUGAUAACAAACUUAUCAUGAGAGUGCAUCAUAGGGUUUAGGUCUGUGUUUGUUAGAUGGAUAUCUAAGGUAUUCUGCGUAGAAAGUGUGUCCAGAUAUUUCCUUAGUUCAUAGGUAAAUUUUGUGGAAUUGCGACGCUUUCAUGCCUAUGGAAACUUAAUCUUCAGAGAUCAACCAGUAUAUGUAGCUUAAUGAUGUGAUCUGUGAACGUUGAACUCUAUACCUUUCUUUUGUGCUACUUGUUUGACGUUCCUGUGUGUAUUUUUGGUCUCCAGAAUUUUAUACCGGGGUUUUCGGGAAUUUGGAUUUGGAUUGCGACCAUGUUGACAAUUUUUUUUAAGAAACUGAAAAUAUGUGUAAUCAAGUAAAAACAAACCCAUAUCGAGUCCCGACCUACUUUUCCCCAUACCCCACACUUUUUUUUUUUUUUUUUGUAUUAGCCACUUUUUCCCAAACAUCAUAAACGUGGAAUCCUCAAUGUUUAGUUAGGGAAAAGCUAUCUUAGCUUUCAUGCGGACUUGCUGACACCGCAAAUUGCACUAUCACAUUUGCUACUUUCUAAUUGUCCAUCAAGUAUAAUGAUAAAGGAGAAUUUUCAAGGAACUACCAAGCUUUUUCAAAAAACUACCUUUUUUAAAAAAACAACUACCUUUCACAACAAAUUUCUUUCGAAAUACUCCUACAUGACGGUUGCCGCAUAGUUUGGCCAUUCAUUCAGCCAAUCAGUUGCACAUGGUAGUCACGUAACCUUCAUUAACCUUCUACCCACCAUUAGUGACACCAUAUUUGAUACUCUUCUAGAGUUGGUUUGUUGGUUCAUGAGACAAAUCUUUCUAAUUCGAGCUUCAAAUGGUGUUGAAGGUCACAUGAUUACCACGCGUAAGUCAAUGGCAGAAUUAAAGGUGAAACUUAAUUUUCCAAUAAAAGAAGUAAAUAAGUAAACAUAGGGCAUCUGUCAAACGGGGGAUAUUUUUAUGUUUUUGACAUGGGUCAAACAGGGAGAUGAAGAUUGCAAUGUGCAUGAGUACAUUUGAUGGUCCUCUUUCCACAAUAUUAGAAUUGGAUUUCAGGAUUUCAUUUCUUGAAAAUGAAUACAACAUUUGUAUCAUCUCCAUGCAAUGAUGCAAUGCAAAGUCAUCAAAAGGUACCUGAGGAGCUGUUAUUGUAUGUAUCAUGUGCUGGAUCAAAGCAUCUAUGUCUGUCUUCCUGACCCCUGUUGAUAUUGAAAGAUUAUGAAGAAUGAUGAAAGGUAUCUCUCAGUCAGGAGUCUGCUCAUCUAUCUGAGUUUAGUGAUCACAACAUUACACUUGCACUUGUAAUCUAUGUGUAGUUUUCAUCAUAAUCGUUUUCAGCUUCUGCUUUUUUUUUUUUUUGGGGGGGUGUUGUGAGUGAUUGAGGUUUUUCUCAUUUAUGCAGUAUUAUCUUGCUAUUAAACAUAGGCUGUUAUUCAUCUUGUAAUUCCAAGAUGUCCGUGGAAUAGCCUUUCCCUUGUCUGCCUGGUUUAACCCAGGAGCCAGAAUUUAGAAGUGACUUCUGUAAGAAAAAACCAAAUUUCUAUUUUUUUUUUUUCCCUGGAGAAGAGAAUCAAAAAAAAAAAAAAAAGGGACUUCAAAAGGCGCCUCCUUGUUGUCAGCUAACACUAACAGGCCUUCUCUCUAAAUGAUGGCUGUGAGCUACUUUUCAGCUGUUGUUCCUGGCUUGUGCACCCAUAUUUUCGCAGAAUCUAGUCCAGUCAGCAGUAGUCUACUAUAUUCUGCCACUUUUGGAUUAUGUUAGCCUUAUUAUGUUGUAUAUGUCGUAUUUAGAUGCUGGACUAUCACGCUAAGUAACGGCUUCAUUAGAUUGACUUAUCAUUUCCUGUAUGUCAUUGUGAUUUGUGACCCCUACUGAAGCGUUCCCUAGCUUCUUGUCCUCGUGCCAAAUCCCCGGAGGUUGCAGCAUAAGUUAUUUGUACAUAUAAUGAUACUUAAGGGGAAAACUUUUAACUUCUUCAAUAAUGUUAUUGAAAAUCUGCAAAUCACUUUAUUAAGUGUGCUUUGUUUUUCGUGUUCCCAUAAGAAAUCUUAGAUUAUGAUAUAAAGGCUUGUGCAUCCAUUAUGCUUAUGCUGUCAAGUCUUCCCUGGCCUGGGAUUGAUAGUUCGUGAUGCUUUAGCUACUUCCCAUUUUUCAUGGGCAAGUGCAAGUCAACUUUAUGUCUAUGGUUUUGCUAAUGGUAUAGAAAAAAAAGGGAGAAAGAAAAGAAAGGAAAAAGAAUCGAAAGAAGAAAAGUAGAGAGUGACAAGAAAGAGCUAGGACGGCAAUAUAUUUUGGCUUUAUCUUUCUCCUAAAUUCCCUGGCUGAACGCAAUGAGAUUAUGAACAAGUUAUGGAAGAGCGCAAAUUGUGGAGGGUGAAAGCAAAUCAAAGUUGCAGCUCUAUGGUUCGCUUAUGGUAUAGAAAAAAAAAAGGAGAAAGAAAGAAAAAAGAACCGAAAGAAGAAAAGUAGAGAGUGACAAUAAAGAGCUAGGUUGGAAUGUAUUUGUCUUUCUUCUAAAUUUCUUGGCUGAAAGCAAUGAGAUUAUGAACAAGUUAUGGAAGAGUGCAAAUUGUGGAGGGCGAAAGCAAAUCAAAGUUGCAGCUCUAUCUCAGCCAAUCAGCAGGCCACCAUUUAUCUAUCAUCCUUCUGGCUCUCAUGACCAGUCCCAAAUUGGAGUAUUAGUUGUGGCAACAUGUGACUGAGUGACUCAAUUUGUAGGGUAUGUUAUGGAACCUGUUCGUCAACAUCAAGUACACCACACAAGCUGGAUAUGUGCCUGGGCUCCACAGAUGUCAAGCAGUCAAUUCUAAUUCGCUACUGCAUGUCAUGUAAACACUUGCAAGGUAACAUAAAAGGGCGUUAAUAACAGCAGCCGAGGAUGAAGAGGUCAUUAUCAGUGAAGAAAGGAACUGGUAUUGGUGAGGGAACAAGUGCAACUUGCUGAAUAUGGUAGCUAUGUUAAAUCAUCGGAGAAUGUAUUUAAGAACUCUUGUUUGAACCCUCAUCUAGGAAUUUUCUUUGGACAAUGAAAGGUGGCAAAUUUCAUACACCUGA
This is an RNA transcript of Beta vulgaris subsp. vulgaris (sugar beet), 4552 nucleotides long. It is a transcript of the gene named probable CCR4-associated factor 1 homolog 11, with no coding region annotated. The record is from RefSeq and is a predicted model, not a curated record. The transcript has 5 exons. Lineage: Eukaryota; Viridiplantae; Streptophyta; Magnoliopsida; Caryophyllales; Amaranthaceae.